AGAUGUCACAGUUCAUUUUCUCUUCUUUUGUUAGAAAUAAUCCUUGAUUUUGAAUCUAAAAAUUGGAGAACCUGAAGCCUUGAUUUUGGACCUGAAGCCUUGAUUUUCAACCUAAAGAUUGGAGCAACGGGAAGAGAUUCAACUACGCGUCCCUUCUCACGAACCCUUUCACUCUCGUUGUCUCUCCUUAUCUUAGAUUCCCACCAGUUACACAACCAAAACUGUCAUCCAACACCUACGAGGCUACAAGAUGCCUGGCUCCGACGGAGUAAUCACCUUCCCAAAUUCAAGUUCAAGGAGUGGCCGAAGCCCUCUUUUUGCUCAUUAAUUGUUGCCAGUGGGCUCGAAAUUGCUGCCCGAGUAUUUUGGGGCUGAGGAACUCUAUAAUGCAGAGCUUUCGGUCUCCAUUUUGCUAGGCGGAAGAGCUUCAGCGUGUAAAGCUUGCUGAUCCGGCUAAAGAAGUUGACAUAAGCACUUUGAUAUAUCAAAGCG
This 492-nucleotide long non-coding RNA is filed under the name Linum usitatissimum (flax). RNAcentral describes it as "long non-coding RNA (LUSI_LNC006735)". The record is from RNAcentral. Lineage: Eukaryota; Viridiplantae; Streptophyta; Magnoliopsida; Malpighiales; Linaceae.